CUAAAUGAGAGUUUGAUCCUGGCUCAGGAUGAACGCUAACGGCGUGCUUUAGGCAUGCAAGUCGAGCGACGUGCCCGCAAGGGUUACGAGCGGCAGACGGGUGAGUAAUGCAUAGGAAUCUACCCUUACCUUUGGGAUAACCCACCGAAAGGUGGGCUAAUACCUAAUAGUCCUAGACCAAUUUUGGUUCUAGGUAAAGGGCGUAACUGCUUGGGUAAGGACGAGCCUAUGUCCCAUCAGCUUGUUGGUAGGGUAAUGGCCUACCAAGGCAAUGACGGGUAGCUGGACUGAGAGGUCGGCCAGCCACAAGGGCACUGAGACACGGGCCCUACUCCUACGGGAGGCAGCAACCGGGAAUCGUAGACAAUGGGCGAAAGCCUGAUCUCGCGACGCCGUGUGGGGGAUGAAGGCCUUCGGGUUGUAAACCCCUUUUGCAGAGGAAGAAGUCCCGAUUUAUCGGGAUUGACGGUACUUUGCGAAUAAGCCGCUGCUAACUACGUGCCAGCAGCCGCGGUGAAACGUAGGCGGCAAGCGUUAUCCGGAUUUACUGGGCGUAAAGAGUUCUGUAGGCGCCUAAUCAAGUUUUUGUUGAAAUACCAACUCUUAAGGUUGGGCUUGGCAAAAAAACUGAUUAGGUAGAGAACCUCGGGGAAUGCCGGAACAGACGGUGUAGCAGUGAAAUGCGAUGAUAUCGUCUGGAACACCGAAGGCGUAGGCAGGCAUUUAAGGGGAUUCUGACGCUGAGAGACGAAAGCUAGGGUAGCGAAUCGGAUUAGAGACCCGAGUAGUCCUAGCUGUAAACCAUGAGUGCUAGAUAUUGGAGGUAUUGACCCCUCCAGUGUCGUAAGCUAACGCGUUAAGCACUCCGCCUGGGGAGUACGGCCGCAAGGCUAAAACUCAAAGGAAUUGGCGGGGACCCGCACAAGCAGGGGAACGUGUGGUUUAAUUCGAGACGGAACGAAGAACCUCACCAGGACUUGACAUGCUAGUGGUAGGGAGCCGAAAGGCCGACAACCCCGAAAGGGGAGCUAGCACAGGUGCUGCAUGGCUGUCGUCAGCUCGUGCCGUGAGGUGUACCCUUAAGUGGGGUAACGAGCGCAACCCCUAUCCAUUGUUGUAUCACUCAAUGGAGACCGCCUCCGAUAAGGGGGAGGAAGGUGGGGACGACGUCAAGUCAUCAUAGCCCUUACGUCCUGGGCUACACACACGUUACAAUGGAUAGAAACAACGAGUAUUGCAACUUCGCAAGGAGAAGCUAAUCCCUGAAAUCUAUCCUCAGUUGGGAUUGUAGGCUGCAACUCGCCUAUAUGAACAUGGACUUGCUAGUAAUCGCAGGUCAGCAUACUGCGGUGAAUACGUUCUCGGGUCUUGCACACACCGCCCGUCAAGCCAACAAAGUCGGUAGCACCCGAAGUCCAAGUCUAACUUGGCCUAAGGUGAGAUCGGUGAUGGGGGCUAAGUCGUAACAAGGUAUCCCUACUGGAAGGUGGGGAUGGAUCACCUCCUUU
Molecule: non-coding RNA, 1508 nt
Organism: Candidatus Woykebacteria bacterium RBG_13_40_7b
Lineage: Bacteria; Candidatus Woykeibacteriota
Source: Rfam